GAUGAACGCUGGCGGCGUGCCUAAUACAUGCAAGUCGAGCGAACAGACGAGGAGCUUGCUCCUCUGACGUUAGCGGCGGACGGGUGAGUAACACGUGGAUAACCUACCUAUAAGACUGGGAUAACUUCGGGAAACCGGAGCUAAUACCGGAUAAUAUAUUGAACCGCAUGGUUCAAUAGUGAAAGACGGUUUUGCUGUCACUUAUAGAUGGAUCCGCGCCGCAUUAGCUAGUUGGUAAGGUAACGGCUUACCAAGGCGACGAUGCGUAGCCGACCUGAGAGGGUGAUCGGCCACACUGGAACUGAGACACGGUCCAGACUCCUACGGGAGGCAGCAGUAGGGAAUCUUCCGCAAUGGGCGAAAGCCUGACGGAGCAACGCCGCGUGAGUGAUGAAGGUCUUCGGAUCGUAAAGCUCUGUUAGUAGGGAAGAACAAAUGUGUAAGUAACUAUGCACGUCUUGACGGUACCUGAUCAGAAAGCCACGGCUAACUACGUG
Molecule: ribosomal RNA, 497 nt
Filed under: uncultured bacterium
Lineage: Bacteria
Description: partial 16S ribosomal RNA
Rfam family: Bacterial small subunit ribosomal RNA
Source: RNAcentral